AUACCUUUCUCCGUCUUUUGGCUAAGAAAGAUCUAGUAUAGCAUUUGUUCUUAUCAAUUUAAUAUUUGAUAUGUAAGUCAUGAGCCCACAAUAAUACUAAAUUUAUUUUUUGUGAGAGAGGGUCCACAGGCCCUUGCGUGUCACCCGGGUGUUGCACUGCUGCCUGGAUCUGGCACACCCCAA
Molecule: small nuclear RNA, 183 nt
Filed under: Aegilops tauschii subsp. strangulata
Lineage: Eukaryota; Viridiplantae; Streptophyta; Magnoliopsida; Poales; Poaceae
Description: snRNA U2
Rfam family: U2 spliceosomal RNA
About the family: U2 is a small nuclear RNA (snRNA) component of the spliceosome (involved in pre-mRNA splicing).
Source: Rfam by way of RNAcentral